CUUUCCCUUCAGCAGAGUUUGGGAUCUGAACACUGCAUGGAGGAAGGCAUGGCAGAAGACGGAGUAGGCAGACCACUGCUCCCCAGUCGGGCCUGGGACUGACCUGGCAGAUGUCGGCUCUGGGGUCAGAACCACAUUGGAGGCUGUAGCUUCUGAGAACAGUGCUCUUCUGUCAGGACCCCACCUCACAAUGGAUUCAGACAUUUGAGCAGAUACCUGAAGACAAAGAAGUGGGCCAUGGAGAUCUUUGGGGAA
This is a long non-coding RNA of Symphalangus syndactylus (siamang), 255 nucleotides long. RefSeq lists it as uncharacterized. NCBI's taxonomy places the organism in Eukaryota, Metazoa, Chordata, Mammalia, Primates, Hylobatidae. The record is from RefSeq and is a predicted model, not a curated record.